UACGUAGGGUGCGAGCGUUACUCGGAAUUACUGGGCGUAAAGCGUGCGUAGGUGGUUUGUUAAGUCUGUUGUGAAAGCCCCGGGCUCAACCUGGGAAUGGCAAUGGAUACUGGCAGGCUAGAGUGCGGUAGAGGGUAGUGGAAUUCCCGGUGUAGCGGUGAAAUGCGUAGAGAUCGGGAGGAACACCAGUGGCGAAGGCGGCUACCUGGACCAGCACUGACACUGAGGCACGAAAGCGUGGGGAGCAAACAGG
RNAcentral lists this ribosomal RNA (253 nucleotides) under uncultured bacterium. RNAcentral describes it as "partial 16S ribosomal RNA". It matches the Rfam family "Bacterial small subunit ribosomal RNA", at positions 524 to 776 of the family's 1533-position model. The record is from RNAcentral.